GACUUGGUACUUUAAUUUAAAAGAUCUGAUUUGCAUUUAGAAAAUAAGUUUUUUAUACUUCUAGGUCA
RNAcentral lists this transfer RNA (68 nucleotides) under Galeodea echinophora. RNAcentral's name for it is "tRNA-Ala". The record is from RNAcentral. Lineage: Eukaryota; Metazoa; Mollusca; Gastropoda; Littorinimorpha; Cassidae.